UUCGUUCAACCACCGAAUCACUCAUUUCGCUUCUCCGCACUCGCAAAGUCUGAAGGGAACCAGCACUAGCAAAAAGCAAGAAACACAAAAAGAAAUACUGUAUCACUGAAAAAUGUCCAUUGAACAAUGAUCACUUAAAGGUGAGGGAAAGUAUAAUACUAUGUUGCUUGAAAUAUUAUAAUUGUCUCAUUUGGAAUCUUAUCAUACAAGAACAUCAAAGCACGUAUAAUCUUAUCAUACACUUCAUACAAGAACAUCAAAGCAUGUAUAAUCUUAUCAUACACUUACUUCUCAGUGAUGAAGGAGAAAAUGGAAUCAUUGUGGAGGCCCGAAACACAUAACUUGCGGAGAGAUCCGGAGCUUCGGGUGAUGAGCAUUCGAAGCAUCCGAUCAAGAUGGUGGGGCUGACAUCGACUGCUCCACUCUUCAAUGUCUACCUCUUGCC
Molecule: long non-coding RNA, 445 nt
Filed under: Gossypium raimondii (Peruvian cotton)
Lineage: Eukaryota; Viridiplantae; Streptophyta; Magnoliopsida; Malvales; Malvaceae
Description: long non-coding RNA (GRAI_LNC007081)
Source: RNAcentral